CGGGGUGCAGCAGGCGCGAAAACUUUGCAAUGCGGGAAACCGUGACAAGGGAACUCUGAGUGCCCGUUAAAUCGGGCUGUCCAUCGGUUUAAAUAACCGGUGAAGAAAGGGCCGGGCAAGACCGGUGCCAGCCGCCGCGGUAAUACCGGCGGCUCGAGUGGUGGCCACUAUUACUGGGCUUAAAGCGUUCGUAGCUGGUUUGUUAAGUCUCUGGGGAAAUCUUCCGGCUUAACCGGAAGGCGUCUCAGGGAUACUGGCAGACUAGGGACCGGGAGAGGUGAGAGGUACUCCAGGGGUAGGAGUGAAAUCCUGUAAUCCUUGGGGGACCACCUGUGGCGAAGGCGUCUCACCAGAACGGCUCCGACAGUGAGGGACGAAAGCUGGGGGAGCAAACCGGAUUAGAUACCCGGGUAGUCCCAGCUGUAAACGAUGCGCGUUAGGUGUAUCGGUGACCACGAGUCACCGAGGUGCCGAAGAGAAAUCGUGAAACGUGCCGCCUGGGAAGUACGGUCGCAAGGCUGAAACUUAAAGGAAUUGGCGGGGGAGCACAAGGGCGAUUCGCGG
This 564-nucleotide ribosomal RNA is filed under the name uncultured archaeon. Its description in RNAcentral is "bacterial SSU rRNA". It matches the Rfam family "Archaeal small subunit ribosomal RNA", at positions 326 to 900 of the family's 1478-position model. The record is from RNAcentral.